RNAcentral lists this long non-coding RNA (2905 nucleotides) under Homo sapiens (human). RNAcentral's name for it is "HSALNT0363304". The stretch from base 1326 to 1420 matches the Rfam family "Metastasis associated lung adenocarcinoma transcript 1". The record is from RNAcentral. Lineage: Eukaryota; Metazoa; Chordata; Mammalia; Primates; Hominidae.
UGACGCAGCCCCACCGGUUGCGCAGUCCCUCCCCGCCCCCGCUCUCCCCUCCGCAGCCUGCAGCCCGAGACUUCUGUAAAGGACUGGGGCCCCGCAACUGGCCUCUCCUGCCCUCUUAAGCGCAGCGCCAUUUUAGCAACGCAGAAGCCCGGCGCCGGGAAGCCUCAGCUCGCCUGAAGGCAGGUCCCCUCUGACGCCUCCGGGAGCCCAGGUUUCCCAGAGUCCUUGGGACGCAGCGACGAGUUGUGCUGCUAUCUUAGCUGUCCUUAUAGGCUGGCCAUUCCAGGUGGUGGUAUUUAGAUAAAACCACUCAAACUCUGCAGUUUGGUCUUGGGGUUUGGAGGAAAGCUUUUAUUUUUCUUCCUGCUCCGGUUCAGAAGGUCUGAAGCUCAUACCUAACCAGGCAUAACACAGAAUCUGCAAAACAAAAACCCCUAAAAAAGCAGACCCAGAGCAGUGUAAACACUUCUGGGUGUGUCCCUGACUGGCUGCCCAAGGUCUCUGUGUCUUCGGAGACAAAGCCAUUCGCUUAGUUGGUCUACUUUAAAAGGCCACUUGAACUCGCUUUCCAUGGCGAUUUGCCUUGUGAGCACUUUCAGGAGAGCCUGGAAGCUGAAAAACGGUAGAAAAAUUUCCGUGCGGGCCGUGGGGGGCUGGCGGCAACUGGGGGGCCGCAGAUCAGAGUGGGCCACUGGCAGCCAACGGCCCCCGGGGCUCAGGCGGGGAGCAGCUCUGUGGUGUGGGAUUGAGGCGUUUUCCAAGAGUGGGUUUUCACGUUUCUAAGAUUUCCCAAGCAGACAGCCCGUGCUGCUCCGAUUUCUCGAACAAAAAAGCAAAACGUGUGGCUGUCUUGGGAGCAAGUCGCAGGACUGCAAGCAGUUGGGGGAGAAAGUCCGCCAUUUUGCCACUUCUCAACCGUCCCUGCAAGGCUGGGGCUCAGUUGCGUAAUGGAAAGUAAAGCCCUGAACUAUCACACUUUAAUCUUCCUUCAAAAGGUGGUAAACUAUACCUACUGUCCCUCAAGAGAACACAAGAAGUGCUUUAAGAGACUUUUUUCAGAUAACAUCUUCUGAGUCAUAACCAGCCUGGCAGUAUGAUGGCCUAGAUGCAGAGAAAACAGCUCCUUGGUGAAUUGAUAAGUAAAGGCAGAAAAGAUUAUAUGUCAUACCUCCAUUGGGGAAUAAGCAUAACCCUGAGAUUCUUACUACUGAUGAGAACAUUAUCUGCAUAUGCCAAAAAAUUUUAAGCAAAUGAAAGCUACCAAUUUAAAGUUACGGAAUCUACCAUUUUAAAGUUAAUUGCUUGUCAAGCUAUAACCACAAAAAUAAUGAAUUGAUGAGAAAUACAAUGAAGAGGCAAUGUCCAUCUCAAAAUACUGCUUUUACAAAAGCAGAAUAAAAGCGAAAAGAAAUGAAAAUGUUACACUACAUUAAUCCUGGAAUAAAAGAAGCCGAAAUAAAUGAGAGAUGAGUUGGGAUCAAGUGGAUUGAGGAGGCUGUGCUGUGUGCCAAUGUUUCGUUUGCCUCAGACAGGUAUCUCUUCGUUAUCAGAAGAGUUGCUUCAUUUCAUCUGGGAGCAGAAAACAGCAGGCAGCUGUUAACAGAUAAGUUUAACUUGCAUCUGCAGUAUUGCAUGUUAGGGAUAAGUGCUUAUUUUUAAGAGCUGUGGAGUUCUUAAAUAUCAACCAUGGCACUUUCUCCUGACCCCUUCCCUAGGGGAUUUCAGGAUUGAGAAAUUUUUCCAUCGAGCCUUUUUAAAAUUGUAGGACUUGUUCCUGUGGGCUUCAGUGAUGGGAUAGUACACUUCACUCAGAGGCAUUUGCAUCUUUAAAUAAUUUCUUAAAAGCCUCUAAAGUGAUCAGUGCCUUGAUGCCAACUAAGGAAAUUUGUUUAGCAUUGAAUCUCUGAAGGCUCUAUGAAAGGAAUAGCAUGAUGUGCUGUUAGAAUCAGAUGUUACUGCUAAAAUUUACAUGUUGUGAUGUAAAUUGUGUAGAAAACCAUUAAAUCAUUCAAAAUAAUAAACUAUUUUUAUUAGAGAAUGUAUACUUUUAGAAAGCUGUCUCCUUAUUUAAAUAAAAUAGUGUUUGUCUGUAGUUCAGUGUUGGGGCAAUCUUGGGGGGGAUUCUUCUCUAAUCUUUCAGAAACUUUGUCUGCGAACACUCUUUAAUGGACCAGAUCAGGAUUUGAGCGGAAGAACGAAUGUAACUUUAAGGCAGGAAAGACAAAUUUUAUUCUUCAUAAAGUGAUGAGCAUAUAAUAAUUCCAGGCACAUGGCAAUAGAGGCCCUCUAAAUAAGGAAUAAAUAACCUCUUAGACAGGUGGGAGAUUAUGAUCAGAGUAAAAGGUAAUUACACAUUUUAUUUCCAGAAAGUCAGGGGUCUAUAAAUUGACAGUGAUUAGAGUAAUACUUUUUCACAUUUCCAAAGUUUGCAUGUUAACUUUAAAUGCUUACAAUCUUAGAGUGGUAGGCAAUGUUUUACACUAUUGACCUUAUAUAGGGAAGGGAGGGGGUGCCUGUGGGGUUUUAAAGAAUUUUCCUUUGCAGAGGCAUUUCAUCCUUCAUGAAGCCAUUCAGGAUUUUGAAUUGCAUAUGAGUGCUUGGCUCUUCCUUCUGUUCUAGUGAGUGUAUGAGACCUUGCAGUGAGUUUAUCAGCAUACUCAAAAUUUUUUUCCUGGAAUUUGGAGGGAUGGGAGGAGGGGGUGGGGCUUACUUGUUGUAGCUUUUUUUUUUUUUACAGACUUCACAGAGAAUGCAGUUGUCUUGACUUCAGGUCUGUCUGUUCUGUUGGCAAGUAAAUGCAGUACUGUUCUGAUCCCGCUGCUAUUAGAAUGCAUUGUGAAACGACUGGAGUAUGAUUAAAAGUUGUGUUCCCCAAUGCUUGGAGUAGUGAUUGUUGAAGGAAAAA